GCCUCGGCCUGGGCGGAGCCGCUGGCGGCCGGCGCCCUGCGCCCUUGCAGCAGGACUUCUCCACCGUGAUCGCCACCAGGCUCGCCGAGAAGCCGCAGAGCCGCCCCACGAACCACCAUCUGCCGGGGAACGAGGAUGAGGAGGAGCACACCCUACACUAUGAGGCGUACCUGGUACAAGUUCCAGGAUUAGGACCCUGCAUUGUCCUGGCUCCUCAGCAACAGACAUCAGGUGGGCACUACAGUGAGCACGCACUGGCGACGCCCCUGGGCCCUGUGUCGCUGAAGCCGUUCCAGCCGCAGCACCACCAGGACUUCCACGACCACGACCACGAC
Molecule: long non-coding RNA, 335 nt
Organism: Schistocerca nitens (vagrant locust)
Lineage: Eukaryota; Metazoa; Arthropoda; Insecta; Orthoptera; Acrididae
Exons: 3
Source: RefSeq, a predicted model, not a curated record